Long non-coding RNA from Zophobas morio, 267 nucleotides. RefSeq lists it as uncharacterized. Lineage: Eukaryota; Metazoa; Arthropoda; Insecta; Coleoptera; Tenebrionidae. The record is from RefSeq and is a predicted model, not a curated record. The transcript is spliced from 4 exons.
AAGUUGGACCGAAAAUGCUUGAAAAGUUGAAGGGUUUAUCUUAUUCUUAUCAUAAAAUUCUUUGCAUAGAGCUUGGCUUAGGCGAAGCUGAAACCACUUUAGAGAAGAAUUUUAGUGAGAACCAAAAAAGCAACACGACUCUCUCAACUAAUGAACCCAAUAAUCCCGACACCACUGCGGUGAUUGGUUCAGAAAGCAAAUCUCUUGAUUUGUUGUUGAUUGAUAUUUUAAAUGUGGAAGAUAUUACUUCGACGAUUUCUUCCUUGG